RNAcentral lists this non-coding RNA (45 nucleotides) under Schistosoma mansoni. The record is from RNAcentral. Lineage: Eukaryota; Metazoa; Platyhelminthes; Trematoda; Strigeidida; Schistosomatidae.
GUCCAGUUGAGGAGUCCGAAAUAGGACGAAACGCGCAUCCUGGAU